GCUUAGAAGUAAACCAAGGCAGAACCCCUACCACCCUGCCCGCCAGAGUAUUACAAGUGAAAAGCUUAAAACUCAAAGGACUUGACGGCAUUCCACAUCACACUAGAGGAGCCUGUCCUAUAAUCGAUAAUCCGCGAUUCACCUCACCUGUCCUCGCACAAUUCAGCCUAUAUACCGCCGUCCCCAGCUCGCCUUGCAAAAGACCACAUCCGCGGGCAAACCAGCCAACACUAAUACAUCAGGUCAAGGUGUAGCUUACGGACAGGAAGAGAUGGGCUACAUUUUCUACACACCAGAAAACUACCACCCGCACCAUGAAACAAGUGCACAAAGGAGGAUUUAGCAGUAAGCCACGCAAGACUGCAUGACUGAACAUCGCCCUGGAAUGCGU
Molecule: ribosomal RNA, 391 nt
Filed under: Hemidactylus homoeolepis
Lineage: Eukaryota; Metazoa; Chordata; Lepidosauria; Squamata; Gekkonidae
Description: partial 12S ribosomal RNA
Rfam family: Bacterial small subunit ribosomal RNA
Source: RNAcentral